Molecule: non-coding RNA, 421 nt
Organism: Phascolarctos cinereus (koala)
Lineage: Eukaryota; Metazoa; Chordata; Mammalia; Diprotodontia; Phascolarctidae
Source: RefSeq, a predicted model, not a curated record
GAAAAUAUGCUAGGAUAACUAGGCAACCAGCAAAUUAAAGGUUGUUCUCUUGGCAAGUUAAAUAUCCCUCCAGUGGUAGCAGUCAAAAAUUUAGCUUUUGAAAAGAACAAAAAAAAGUGACAUUUACAGAAAGUUUAAAGAGCAGAGGACUCAGCCUUAAGGGUGGAAGACCAAUUAGGAGUCUUUGGAAAUAGUCCAGUUGCUGCCUAUGUACAAGUUCCCAGGAUGGAGAUAGACAGAAACAACAUACUUCUUACCCUCUGGCCUUGACACCUCUCCAUGACACCUCUAUGAAAGUCCAACCACAUCUACACAGGCCACAACCAGAUGGAAUGUCCCUCUUCACUCCAAUCCAGAAGAACGUAAUUUACAUGAAUAUCUUCACAUUUUUUCAAACUGAACUUUUACAUCAUCGGGUAUA